Molecule: long non-coding RNA, 825 nt
Organism: Pyrus x bretschneideri (Chinese white pear)
Lineage: Eukaryota; Viridiplantae; Streptophyta; Magnoliopsida; Rosales; Rosaceae
Exons: 6
Source: RefSeq, a predicted model, not a curated record
CUUCAUUUUCAGCUUUUCCUUAUUUUGUUUGACUCCUGCUCUCCCCGUCUCCCUCCUCGCCUCACUCUUCUCUGCACCAAGCAGCUUGAUUUUGGGCUUCACCAUUUCUCUUCGAAUCAAGGUCUCUAUUUUCUCUCCCUAUUUUCCCAAACUAGGUUUCCCUCUCUCUGUGUAAAAACCCUAGAUCUCGCCACUGCCAGAAAGUCGAAGCUCGACCCUUCGAGCUUCAAUCCGCCUUGCUGAUCGCCUCCACCUAAACCCCUCUGUUGCAGCAGAAGGAAGCUAGGAGGUGCAGCAACUGGAAGUCGGAUUUCACUCCCGUGGCUGAAAUUAGAUCAAGUUUUGGCUGAUUUGAUCUGAGCACGCACAGAUUGUUUUCGAGGUUUUUGACUCCUACCCUCCCAGAAACUUGAUAAGUGCUAUUCUUGCUGAAGACCUGCCAUAUUGAUUGAUCUGUUUCUUCGUCGUCGAUUCAGCUACUCUCCUAGGUUCAUUGCAGAUUGAUGUGUUUGCUGCUGCGAGCUUCGUCUUGCCGUCUCCACAGCCCACUUCGCCCAACUCGAUUCAUCGUCUCAACCACCACCUCAACAUCGACCUUCCAGGUGUUAGAUCAAAGUGUACCUUCAACCCUCGAGAAGGUGAUCUAGGUGAAGGUCGUAAAAACAAGCAUUUGAAGCACGUGUAUGUAGGCAAUCUAUAUAUUAUUAUGUGAUACUAAUCAUUUUCUUUGUUUAUUAGAGAUUAAAAAUGCAAGUGUACUAAACUGGAAGCUCAAAUAUUGAAUAAUAUAAUGAACACCCGAACACAUGGUACAAUUUGACACAA